GUGAUCUAGCCAUGGGCAGGUUGAAGGUUGGGUAACACUAACUGGAGGACCGAACCGACUAAUGUUGAAAAAUUAGCGGAUGACUUGUGGCUGGGGGUGAAAGGCCAAUCAAACCGGGAGAUAGCUGGUUCUCCCCGAAAGCUAUUUAGGUAGCGCCUCGUGAACUCAUCUUCGGGGGUAGAGCACUGUUUCGGCUAGGGGGUCAUCCCGACUUACCAACCCGAUGCAAACUACGAAUACCGAAGAAUGUUAUCACGGGAGACACACGGCGGGUGCUAACGUCCGUCGUGAAGAGGGAAACAACCCAGACCGCCAGCUAAGGUCCCAAA
This 329-nucleotide ribosomal RNA is filed under the name Klebsiella quasipneumoniae subsp. similipneumoniae. RNAcentral describes it as "partial 23S ribosomal RNA". It matches the Rfam family "Bacterial large subunit ribosomal RNA", at positions 725 to 1051 of the family's 2925-position model. Lineage: Bacteria; Pseudomonadati; Pseudomonadota; Gammaproteobacteria; Enterobacterales; Enterobacteriaceae. The record is from RNAcentral.